Diabrotica virgifera virgifera (western corn rootworm) is the source of this 5040-nucleotide long non-coding RNA. RefSeq lists it as uncharacterized. NCBI's taxonomy places the organism in Eukaryota, Metazoa, Arthropoda, Insecta, Coleoptera, Chrysomelidae. The record is from RefSeq and is a predicted model, not a curated record. The transcript has 4 exons.
UGGUCAUCACAUUUCAUUUUCAUAAGAUAACCGAUAACCUAAAAAUUUAGUAAAAAUUUUGAUUGGAAAAAAAUGCAUCGAUAAGGGGGUGUGGGAAAUGGAAAUUAGUGGCUUUUCUGCUGUACUGUCUGCUAGUCAAAUCACACAACACUUUUUUCUAUGCUGCUAGUUUUUGCUCUGGGCUCUGGCUGGAUCUCUUGUUUAAACAAUUUUAAUCAGCUGAAAGUGGCCUACAAAAAAAAAAAACAAGAAGGAAAUGUAUAGCCUUGUGGCUAUGAAAGGCAAAAGAGAGAUAUAAAAAGUGUAUUGGCUAGUUGGAAGAAAGUCCACAUUGUCCAUGCAUAAUAAGUUAUUACUUUAUCAACAAAUAUCAAGAAGAUAGCAGGGUCACGAGCAACAACUUCAUAAGUUCAAGAAUAUCGAGGAAAUCCAGCUCCUCGAUACUACUGGGCAAACUAGAAGAUUGAAGAGGACAAAGCCUUUUGAACUAGUUUGAGUGAUAGGUGAUAGUGAAAAACGGAGCAUAGUGCUUGUGUGCUGUGCCUGUGUAUGUUAGAAUAGUGCACGAUCUUGUUAGAUUAGAUAAGAGACGCUAUGGGGUAAGCUCUUCAUUUUAAGAAACAGUAGUAAUUUAGGUUAAAUUAAAAUUGCUCAUUGGUCAGUUAUGACCAGAUUGGUUUUUUAUGUUUGGCAAAAGGGACUUAAGUCAGAAUUGCACAUUGAUAAUGUUUUGAUGAUUUCUGGACCAGAAAAAAACUGUUGUAGAUGUAAACUGUAUGUACAGUAGAAUCUACUACAGUACUGUAGAAAUCAUCAAAACAUUAUCGAUGUGCAAUUCUGACUUAAGCCCUUUUUCCCAAACAUCAGAGAAUUGUAAUGUACAAUAAUUCUCCUAUUUGCUUUUUCAUGAAUUUUGUAGGAGAUGAAAAACCAUUUUUAGGAUCAUCUGCUUUCACAUGUAAAUUUUGACAUGUUUUGUAGUAAAUAGAUAGUUGAAUUUACUACAAAACAUGUCAAAAAAUAUAUGAAAACAGGAGGUGACUAUAAAAAAAGUUUUUAGUCUCUCUUACAAAACUCAUGAAAAAACAAAUCGGAGGUAUGUCACAUCAGUGACUAUAUCCAGGGAAUGUCUAAAAAAUAUACUUUGAUGUCCCAAGAACCAAAUAUAACCUACAGUCCAUCUAAUUUACUUACUGUUGCAGGUCAUUAUCUACGCCAGAGAUCUAAGUUGACAUAGUUGCCAAAGUAUAAAAAGAUCCUGAAUCCAUUUUAAAUCAAAUAUAUCACAUAAUUAUUGUAAACGUGGAUUAUACAACAAAACAAAUUAAUAUUCAAUGUAAAUAAGUAAAAACUUAAGAAAUAGAGAACAAGAAUUAAGUUAUAAUCUUUUAAGAUUUGCAGUGCAAGAGUUUUUGCACUGCAUUGUUAAUAAUUAAAAAACGGCUCCGAACUCUUGGCAAAAAGCUGGUAGGUUUCUUUGUAUAAGUUUGUCUACAAUAACAACUAAAAAAGUUGUCAGAUACCUCGAUUAUUCCAAGUCGUUAUAAAAUUAGGUGAAAUUUAUAUUUUUAUAGUAGAGGAUCUUUUUAUAGUAAAGUAAAUAAUAAAAACAGUAAAUAUAAUAAAUAAAACAGAUACUUAUAGUAAAGAAUAUAAACAAAUAUGAAGUGUCAUCACCGUAACUGUCAAAUAAUGUCACCUUCGUUCGAUUACAGUUACAGUGUGAUCCGAACAAAUCUGCUUAACAUUAAUAGAAAUCUUCAAAUAUUAUUUCUACGCGUAUAUAAUAAAAUAUGUCUAGUGGCUGUAAUUCCAUUGUACUCGGCAAAGUGAUUCUAAAAAAGAACACACCUACCGCCUAAAUAUUUCAGUUAAAAUAAAUAACAGUUAGUAAAUUAGACGAAGUAUGUAGAUAUAUACAGGGUGUAACAAAAAUACAGGUCAUAAAUUUAAUCACAUAUUCUGGGACCAAAAAUAGUUUGAUUGGACCUAACUUACCUUAGUACAAAUGUGCACACAAGAAAAGUUACAGCCCUUUGAAGUUAUAUAUAUAUAUAUAUAUAUAUAUAUAUAUAUAUAUAUAUAUAUAUAUAUAUAUAUAUAUAUAUAUAUAUAUAGACUUUAGUUUUUUAUUGAGGUUGCAGUCAUUUAUUUCUAAGGGGCAGGGUAAGAGAAACUCUGUUUUAGAUAUUUUAUGUUUUGUAGAAAUGUCAAAUUAAGGAACAAGCCUCACGUUGUAAGUUUUUGUACUAAUUUUUAUGCAGUGUUCUUUCAUUUCGUUGUAUUUAUUUAUAACUAUAUAAUAAUUUUAGCUAAUCCUGACGAAGCAAAUAAAUUUUGCGAAAGCUUGAUUAUAACACAGAGUUUCUCUUACCCUGCCCCUUAGAAAUAAAUGACUGCAACCUCAAUAAAAAACUAAAGUCUACAUAUUGUCAGUCAAUAAUACCAAACUUCUUUAUAUAUAUAUAUAUAUAUAUAUAUAUAUAUAUAUAUAUAUAUAUAUAUAUAUAUAUAUAUAUAUAUAUAUAUAUAUAUAUAAUAGCACUAAGGGCCUUAGAGGCCCAUGGCUUGAAAAGUUUGUUUUUUUCUUCAUUUUCACGUUUCUUUAUGUACUGAGAUCUUCUCUGGCUUGAUAUGUGAUUUUUCUCCAUUCCUUCCUGUUAUUCAUUUUUCUUUUCUGACCCUGUAGCACCAUUCUUUCCAAAUCUUUUUCGACCUCUUGCUUCCAUCUAUUUUUCGGCCUUCCUCUUCUCUUUCUUGAAGCUGUAGUGUAGUUUAGUACCAUUUUUGGAGUCCUCGUGUUUGGCAUCCUUUCAAUGUGACCUCGCCAUCUAAGUCUCUGUGCCUUUAUCACUCAUAUAUAUCGAAAACUAUUAGAGAUUUUUUAUUGAAAAUGGACAUGUGGCAUUAUUAUGGCAGCAGUAUCUUACGAAAAAACUAUAGUAAAAUUUGGACACCCCAUAAAAAUAUUUUGGGGGUUUUGUUCCUUUAAACCCCCCCAAACUUUUGUGCACGUUUCAAUUUAAUUAUUAUUGUAGUACCAUUUAAACACAACGUUUUAAAAACUUUUUUGCCUCUUAUUGCUUUUUCGAAAAGUCAAUUUUUAUCGAAAUAUUUUGAAUAUUUGUCAAAUCCACCACAUAUUUGUAUAUGGUUAAGUACGAUUAUGGAGACUUGGUAAUAAUAUGCAGACUUAUUUAUGCUUUACAUUUUUAGGUAUAUUUUGAACCAUAUUAAAAAAGAAGCCAGAUCUCGAUAAAAUGUGCCUUAUCGAAAAAAUACAAAGAGGCAAAAAAGUUUUAAAAACAUUCUGUUUAACUAAUGGUACCUCAGUAAUAGUUUAAUUGGAACGUACACAAACAUUUGGGGGGUUUAAAGGAACAAAACCCCCAUAAAAUUUUUAUGUAGACAUGUUAAAAAAGAAGUCGCAACUCGAUAAAAACUGCCUUAUCUGAAAAAUACUAAGAAACAAAAAUAUUGAAUUUAACUAAUGGUACCACAAUAAUAAAAUUGAAUUGGAACGUACACAAAAGUUUGGGAUGAUCUAAGGGAUCAAGACCCCCAUAAAAUUUUUAUGUGGUGCACAAAUUUCACCAUAAUUUUUCUUUAAGAUAUUCCUGCCAUAAUACUGCCACAUGUCCAUUUUCAAUAAAAAAUCGCUAAUAGUUUUCGAUAUAAUCGAAAAAAUCGAUUUUCAUUUUGUAAUUUCAAAGGGCUGUAACUUUUUUUAUGUGCAUAUUUGUACUAAGGUAAGUUAGGUUCAUUCGAACUAUUUUUGGUCCCAGAAUAUGUGAUUUAAUUUAUGACGUGUAUUUUUGUUACACCCUGUAUAUACAACCGAUUAUGCACCACCUUAAAAAUUGGGCAUUUUUGAUGUCUCGAAUUUCCUAAACCUGUUGUUGCAUCUAAGUGAUUUUUUUAUAAUAUUCUAGCCUAGGCCCUAGGCUAUAGGUUAAGUACCUCCUUAUGCUUGUCAUGCACGGGGAGCUAUACUGUAAUAUAUAUUAUAUCACAUCGCACUCUAUAGUAAUGAGUGAGCCUGCACAUACGGAACCAUUUGUUUCCUGUCUGCAGGCUCACUCAUUACUAUAGAGAGUGAUAUGAUAUAAUGUACAUAUAUUACAGCAUAGCUCCCUGUGCAUGACAAGCUUAAGGAGGUAACCUAUAGCCUAGGCUAUAAUAUUAUAAAAAAAUCACUUAGAUGAAACAACAGGUUUAGGAAAUACGAGACAUCAAAAAUACCCCAUAUUUAAGGUGGUGCGUUAAUUUCUUGGAGAAGUGUAUUGUAAUUUAAUGUAAAUAAUGUAAUAUCCAAUAAUUGUAAUUUAAUAUAAGAUGUAAUAUAAGUUCCUUAAAAAAUAUAUUUUUUAUUUCCCACGACAUUAGAUGGAUGUUCGGCAGCAAGACAUUGGACCAAACUGGGACGUCCUAUGAAGGCCAAUUGACGUCCACCGAACGUCCCUUCGGAUGUUAAGUGGACCUCCAUUGGGCGUUUGGCAACGUGGCAUUUGGAUCAAAAUUGGACGUCCUGUUAAGGUCCAAUUCACGUCCUCUAGAACAUCCGGUUAAGGUCCAAUUUACUUCCGAUUAAGGUCCAAUUUACGUCCGAUUAAGGUCCCAUUUACGUCCGAUUAAGGUCCAAUUUACGUCCUAUUAAGGUCCAAUUUACGUCCGGUUAAGGUCCAAUUUACGUCCGAUUAAGGUCCCAUUAAGGUCCAAUUUACGUCCUAUUAAGGUCCAAUUUACGUCCGAUUAAGGUCCAAUUUACGUCCGAUUAAGGUCCAAUUUACGUCCGAUUAAGGUCCAAUUUACGUCCGAUUAAGGUCCAAUUUACGUCCCCUAGGACGUCCGAUCAAGGUCCAAAUUACGUCCGAUUAAGGUCCAAUAUACGUCCCCUCGGACCUUAGAUGGACGUCCAAUGGACGUUCGGUAGCGCGACAUUUGGACCAAAAUAGGACGUAUAAAGGACAUUCCUCGGACGAAAACGGACGUCCAAUGGACGUCCCUAAAGUCCGUGAAGGACGUCCAAUGGACGUCCUU